CCUACGGGUGGCAGCAGUGGGGAAUAUUGCACAAUGGGGGAAACCCUGAUGCAGCGACGCCGCGUGAGUGAAGAAGUAUCUCGGUAUGUAAAGCUCUAUCAGCAGGGAAGAAAAUGACGGUACCUGAUUAAGAAGCCCCGGCUAACUACGUGCCAGCAGCCGCGGUAAUACGUAGGGGGCAAGCGUUAUCCGGAUUUACUGGGUGUAAAGGGAGCGUAGACGGCAGCACAAGUGUGGAGUGAAAUGCCGGGGCUUAACCCCGGAACUGCUUUGGAAACUAUGCAGCUAGAGUGCAGGAGAGGUAGGUGGAAUUCCUAGUGUAGCGGUGAAAUGCGUAGAUAUUAGGAGGAACACCGGUGGCGAAGGCGGCUUACUGUACUGUAACUGACGUUGAGGCUCGAAGGCGUGGGGAGCGAACAGGAUUAGAUACCCCUGUAGUC
Molecule: ribosomal RNA, 440 nt
Filed under: uncultured bacterium
Lineage: Bacteria
Description: partial 16S ribosomal RNA
Rfam family: Bacterial small subunit ribosomal RNA
Source: RNAcentral